GCCAUCGUAGCUCAGUGGUAGAGCACUUCCUUGGUAAGGAAGAGGUCGCCGGUUCAAUCCCGGCCGAUGGCU
RNAcentral lists this transfer RNA (72 nucleotides) under Pseudomonadota bacterium. RNAcentral describes it as "tRNA-Thr". It matches the Rfam family "tRNA". Rfam says of the family: Transfer RNA (tRNA) molecules are approximately 80 nucleotides in length. Their secondary structure includes four short double-helical elements and three loops (D, anti-codon, and T loops). Lineage: Bacteria; Pseudomonadati; Pseudomonadota. The record is from RNAcentral. RNAcentral also lists the same sequence under 1 other name.